This 253-nucleotide ribosomal RNA is filed under the name uncultured bacterium. Its description in RNAcentral is "partial 16S ribosomal RNA". It matches the Rfam family "Bacterial small subunit ribosomal RNA", at positions 524 to 776 of the family's 1533-position model. The record is from RNAcentral.
GACGUAGGAGGCAAGCGUUGUCCGGAUUCAUUGGGCGUAAAGAGCGUGUAGGCGGCCAGGUAGGUCCGUUGUGAAAACUCGAGGCUCAACCUCGAGACGUCGAUGGAAACCAUCUGGCUAGAGUCCGGAAGAGGAGAGUGGAAUUCCUGGUGUAGCGGUGAAAUGCGCAGAUAUCAGGAAGAACACCUAUGGCGAAGGCAGCUCUCUGGGACGGUACUGACGCUGAGACGCGAAAGCGUGGGGAGCGAACAGG